GGUGUGAACUGUGGGGUUGUGGAGUGGGUGGAUGGUCCUUGGCCAGAGAUUCUACAAAGGUGCCUAACCAGGAUUUGGGACAUGUACCAUGAGCAGAACUUGGGAAGGGUGAAUGACAAACAAGCUCAUGAGAAAGAGGUGGCCAAGCUACAGAAGGAAAUUGAUUUCCUGUCAAACAACUACAGCCAGUUGGUGGAAGAUGUAUCCAAGCUAUUUGACUAUCAAGAUGGCAAGAUGUCUCAUGACCUAUACCAGCAGGCAAUCAAUGAACUAAAUGAGAAGAAGAAACAACUUGAGGAUCAGGCAAAGAUUGAGUUAAGUAUGGAGAAGAUGAAGCUUGCCAAGGAGCAAAGGUGCAUUCUUCAAAGCCAAGCAGAUAUCAUUCAGAACAUGAGGAAGGCCAUGAAGGAAGUGGAGGGGGAGAGGGACCUACUAAGGCAAGAGAAGAAGAAGCUGGAGUAUCUGAUUGCUGAUCUGCUCAAGGCUGGGCAUGCCAGCAAAGAUAAACUGGAGAGGAUCAAGGCAAUUAUGAAUGAGUGA
RNAcentral lists this ribosomal RNA (540 nucleotides) under Triticum aestivum (bread wheat). RNAcentral describes it as "partial small subunit ribosomal RNA". Lineage: Eukaryota; Viridiplantae; Streptophyta; Magnoliopsida; Poales; Poaceae. The record is from RNAcentral.